GAUGAAGAACGUAGCGAAAUGCGAUAAGUAGUGUGAAUUGCAGAAUUCAGUGAAUCAUCGAAUCUUUGAACGCACAUUGCGCCCCUUGGUAUUCCAUGGGGCAUGCCUGUUCGAGCGUCAUUUGUACCUUCAAGCUUUGCUUGGUGUUGGGUGUUUGUCCCUCGGGACUCGCCUUAAAGUCAUUGGCAGCCAGUGUUUUGGUUUUGAAGCGCAGCACAAGUCGCGAUUCAAGGCUAUCCGCCCGCUUCCACAAGCCUUUUUCACUUUUGACCUCGGAUCAGGUAGGGAUACCCGCUGAACUUAAGCAUAUCAAUAAGCGGACGA
RNAcentral lists this unclassified non-coding RNA (324 nucleotides) under soil metagenome. RNAcentral describes it as "partial contains 5.8S ribosomal RNA, internal transcribed spacer 2, and large subunit ribosomal RNA". The stretch from base 1 to 120 matches the Rfam family "5.8S ribosomal RNA", at positions 35 to 154 of the family's 154-position model. The record is from RNAcentral.